Molecule: ribosomal RNA, 508 nt
Filed under: uncultured bacterium
Lineage: Bacteria
Description: bacterial SSU rRNA
Rfam family: Bacterial small subunit ribosomal RNA
Source: RNAcentral
GAUGAACGCUAGCGGCAGGCCUAACACAUGCAAGUCGAGGGGCAGCACGGAAUGUAGCUUGCUACAUCUGGUGGCGACCGGCGCACGGGUGCGUAACGCGUAUGCAACCUACCUUGAACAGGGGGAUAAUUCGGAGAAAUCUGGUCUAAUACCCCAUAAUAUCGGAAUAGGCAUCUAUUCUGGUUAAAAACUCCGGUGGUUCAAGAUGGGCAUGCGUUGUAUUAGCUAGUUGGUGAGGUAACGGCUACCAAGACAUCGAUGGAUAGGGGUUCUGAGAGGAAGGUCCUCCACACUGGUACUGAGACACGGACCAGACUCCUACGGGAGGCAGCAGUGAGGAAUAUUGGUCAAUGGGCGAGAGCCUGAACCAGCCAAGUCGCGUGAAGGAUGACUGCCCUAUGGGUUGUAAACUUCUUUUAUAGGGGAAUAAAAAGUGGGACGUGUCCUAUAUUGUAUGUACCCUAUGAAUAAGCAUCGGCUAACUCCGUGCCAGCAGCCGCUGUAACAC